UAGGGAAUCUUCCGCAAUGGACGCAAGUCUGAAGGAGCAACGCCGCGUGAGUGAAGAAGGAUUUCGGUUCGUAAAACUCUGUUGUUAGAGAAGAACAAAUGUGUAAGUAACUAUGCACGUCUUGACGGUACCUAAUCAGAAAGCCACGGCUAACUACGUGCCAGCAGCCGCGGUAAUACGUAGGUGGCAAGCGUUAUCCGGAAUUAUUGGGCGUAAAGCGCGCGUAGGCGGUUUUUUAAGUCUGAUGUGAAAGCCCACGGCUCAACCGUGGAGGGUCAUUGGAAACUGGAAAACUUGAGUGCAGAAGAGGAAAGUGGAAUUCCAUGUGUAGCGGUGAAAUGCGCAGAGAUAUGGAGGAACACCAGUGGCGAAGGCGACUUUCUGGUCUGUGACUGACGCUGAUGUGCGAAAGCGUGGGGAUCAAACAGG
Molecule: ribosomal RNA, 429 nt
Filed under: Bacteroidota bacterium
Lineage: Bacteria; Pseudomonadati; Bacteroidota
Description: Bacteroidetes bacterium partial 16S ribosomal RNA
Rfam family: Bacterial small subunit ribosomal RNA
Source: RNAcentral